GAACCGCGAAAUGUAAUGUGAAUUGCAGAGUUCGUGAAUCAUCAAAUCUUUGAACGCACAUUGCACUGCUUGGAAUUCCAGGCAGUAUGUCUGUUUGAGUAUCUGUUUUAUAUCAAGAGCGCCUUGGUCAUCAACAAGUUUGCAAAAAUUUGACUGUUGAUUGAGGAGUGCAUUGACUGUUGAAUGUCUUGUGGUAACGCGAGGAUUCAUAAAUAUAUAUUACUUGACUAGCGUCAUGUAUGUGAUUUCCACUUGUGGUAUCACAGUCAACACCUGUGAUUGAAGAACUGUUUCCUCGAUCCGCCAGUGUGUUGACUUUAAUGAGUAUGAAGCGUAACUGCAUAAUCUCAAUCCAUGAUCUCAAAUCAGACAAGACUACCCGCUGAACUUAA
RNAcentral lists this unclassified non-coding RNA (392 nucleotides) under uncultured fungus. Its description in RNAcentral is "sequence contains ITS1". The stretch from base 1 to 104 matches the Rfam family "5.8S ribosomal RNA", at positions 50 to 154 of the family's 154-position model. Lineage: Eukaryota; Fungi. The record is from RNAcentral.